Molecule: ribosomal RNA, 253 nt
Filed under: uncultured bacterium
Lineage: Bacteria
Description: partial 16S ribosomal RNA
Rfam family: Bacterial small subunit ribosomal RNA
Source: RNAcentral
UACGUAGGGACCAAGCGUUGUCCGGAAUCAUUGGGCGUAAAGAGCGUGUAGGCGGCUUGUUAAGUCUUGCGUGAAAUCUCGGGGCUCAACCCCGAGCGGUCGUGAGAAACUGGCAGGCUAGAGUGCGGGAGAGGAGAGUGGAAUUCCUGGUGUAGCGGUGAAAUGCGCAGAUAUCAGGAGGAACACCGGUGGCGAAGGCGGGUCUCUGGGCCGAUACUGACACUGAGGAGCGAAAGCGUGGGGAGCGAACAGG